RNAcentral lists this unclassified non-coding RNA (581 nucleotides) under Leuzea carthamoides. RNAcentral describes it as "Rhaponticum carthamoides partial external transcribed spacer". The record is from RNAcentral. Lineage: Eukaryota; Viridiplantae; Streptophyta; Magnoliopsida; Asterales; Asteraceae.
UGGCUUAAUCUUUGAGACAAGCAUAUGACUACUGGCAGGAUCAACCAGGUAGCAUUCCUCUUUGACGUAGCCCACCAUGCACGGACAAGCCGAGACAUGGUAGACAAUCGUUUUGGAGAAGCGAGAACGCUUAACGAGAGCAAAUUCAGGAUCUUAUAAGACCCAUGCCCACAUUAGGUUCCGUAUACAAGAGACCAAGCGAUGCUUCAUAGGCCACAUUAAUGUUGCAAAUGCAACAACAAGAUGGAUCACAAAGACCGCUUCAAUGUUCAUCCCACGUCACAUGAGCGACGACGCAUGACGAAUAGAGACAUCAUAAAACCCACACGUUACCAUCAACUAGGUAUGCAACACAGGAAACCCACAAUAUGCUUAAGACAUCUAAGCCUUGCCGCAAAACUGAAGAGGUAUGCACGCAUGGACGUUGCUGCGCGAGCAGACAGCCAACCACCCGUAACAAACCAAACACCACUCAUGCACCUUUACGGUCGACAUUCCCGAAAACCGCCCAACUAGUAGCCACCCACCCGGCAAAAAGCCAAGCAAGCAACCAAAAGCCAAAACAGCCCCCAAAAUGCACC